This 727-nucleotide ribosomal RNA is filed under the name uncultured archaeon. RNAcentral describes it as "bacterial SSU rRNA". It matches the Rfam family "Archaeal small subunit ribosomal RNA", at positions 170 to 898 of the family's 1478-position model. The record is from RNAcentral.
CUGGAACGGCUCUCCGCUCAAAUGCUCCGGCGCCUGAGGAUGGGCCUGCGACCGAUUAGGUUGUUGGCGGUGUAAUGGACCACCAAGCCUGAGAUCGGUACGGGCACUGAGAGGUGUAGCCCGGAGAUGGGGACUGAGACACGGCCCCAGGCCCUACGGGGCGCAGCAGGCGCGAAAACUCCGCAAUACACGAAAGUGUGACGGGGGAACCCCGAGUGCACUCACGCAAGUGAGUGCUUUUGUGAAGUGUAAAUAGCUUCACGAAUAAGAGCUGGGUAAGACCGGUGCCAGCCGCCGCGGUAACACCGGCAGCUCGAGUGGUGAUCACUAUUAUUGGGCCUAAAGCGUCCGUAGCCGGUUUGGUAGGUCCUUGGGCAAAUCCUGUCGCUUAACGGCAGGAAUUCUGAGGAUACUGUCAGACUUGAGGCCGAGAGAGGUCGGAGGUACUUCUGGGGUAGCGGUGAAAUGCUAUAAUCCUAGAGGGACCACCGGUGGCGAAGGCGUCCGACUAGAGCGGGCCUGACGGUAAGGGACGAAAGCCAGGGGAGCGAACGGGAUUAGAUACCCCGGUAGUCCUGGCCGUAAACGCUGUGGGCUAGGUGUUGCAUGCUCUACGAGGGCGUGCAGUGCCGAAGAGAAGUUGAUAAGCCUACCGCCUGGGAAGUACUAUCGCAAGAUAGAAACUUAAAGGAAUUGGCGGGGGAGCACCACAAGGGGUGAAGUCUAC